RNAcentral lists this ribosomal RNA (937 nucleotides) under uncultured bacterium. RNAcentral describes it as "bacterial SSU rRNA". It matches the Rfam family "Bacterial small subunit ribosomal RNA", at positions 8 to 916 of the family's 1533-position model. The record is from RNAcentral.
AGAGUUUNNUCCUGGCUCAGAAUGAACGCUGGCGGCGUGCUUAACACAUGCAAGUCGUACGAGAACACUCUAGCUUGCUAGGGUAAGUAAAGUGGCGCACGGGUGAGUAACGCGUGGGUAAUCUACCUUCGAAUUGGGGAUAACGUUGCGAAAGCGACGCUAAUACCGAAUAACAUCCAUUAAUCUUCGGGUUUUUGGAUCAAGGGUGGCCUCUACAUGUAAGCUACUGUUUGAAGAUGAGCCCGCGUACCAUUAGCUUGUUGGUGGGGUAAAGGCCUACCAAGGCUUCGAUGGUUAGCUGGUCUGAGAGGAUGAUCAGCCACACUGGAACUGACACACGGUCCAGACUCCUACGGGAGGCAGCAGUGAGGAAUUUUGCGCAAUGGGGGAAACCCUGACGCAGCAACGCCGCGUGAGUGAUGAAGGCUUUCGGGUCGUAAAGCUCUGUCAAGUGGGAAGAACCUGCAGUAUGCUAAUAUCAUAUUGCACUGACGGUACCACUGAAGGAAGCACCGGCUAACUCCGUGCCAGCAGCCGCGGUAAUACGGGGGGUGCAAGCGUUAUUCGGAAUCAUUGGGCGUAAAGAGCACGUAGGCGGCCUGGUAAGUCAGAUGUGAAAGCCCGGGGCUUAACCCCGGAAGUGCAUUUGAUACUGUCAGGCUUGAGUAUGGGAGAGGGAAGUGGAAUUCCUGGUGUAGAGGUGAAAUUCGUAGAUAUCAGGAGGAACACCGGUGGCGAAGGCGACUUCCUGGACCAAUACUGACGCUGAGGUGCGAAGGCGUGGGUAGCAAACAGGAUUAGAUACCCUGGUAGUCCACGCAGUAAACGUUGUUCACUAGGUGUAGCGGGUAUUGACCCCUGCUGUGCCGCAGUUAACGCAUUAAGUGAACCGCCUGGGGAGUACGGCCGCAAGGUUAAAACUCAAAGGAAUUGACGG